Molecule: transfer RNA, 76 nt
Filed under: Candidatus Monoglobus merdigallinarum
Lineage: Bacteria; Bacillati; Bacillota; Clostridia; Monoglobales; Monoglobaceae
Description: tRNA-Thr
Rfam family: tRNA
About the family: Transfer RNA (tRNA) molecules are approximately 80 nucleotides in length. Their secondary structure includes four short double-helical elements and three loops (D, anti-codon, and T loops).
Source: RNAcentral
GCCGAUAUAGCUCAGUAGGUAGAGCGAUUCACUCGUAAUGAAUAGGUCAGCGGUUCGAAUCCGCUUAUCGGCUCCA